GCUGACUGGGGGACAGAGGGGGCGGUAAGAGAGAGGUGGCGAAGGGUGGUGGGAAGUACUGGGCGGAAAGCGGGGGUAGGCGGUUAGGAAAGACGGGGGUGAAAGCACUGGGCUCAACCCAGGAAGUGCACUCGAAACUCCCGAGCUAGGGUCCGGGAGAGGAAGGCGGAAGUCUCGGUGUAGAGGUGAAAUGCGUAGAUAUCGAGAGGAACAUCGGUGGCGAAGGCGGCCUUCUGGACAGCGACUGACGCGGAGACGCGAAAGCGUGGGGAGCAAACAGGAUUAGAUACCCCGGUAGUC
RNAcentral lists this ribosomal RNA (300 nucleotides) under uncultured Pyrobaculum sp. RNAcentral describes it as "bacterial SSU rRNA". The stretch from base 52 to 300 matches the Rfam family "Bacterial small subunit ribosomal RNA", at positions 547 to 795 of the family's 1533-position model. The record is from RNAcentral. Lineage: Archaea; Thermoproteati; Thermoproteota; Thermoprotei; Thermoproteales; Thermoproteaceae.